GGAGAGAUGCUCGAGUGGUUGAAGAGGCACGCCUGGAAAGUGUGUAUACCCCAAAAGGGUAUCAUGGGUUCGAAUCCCAUUCUCUCCG
This 88-nucleotide transfer RNA is filed under the name Saprospiraceae bacterium. Its description in RNAcentral is "tRNA-Ser". It matches the Rfam family "tRNA". Rfam says of the family: Transfer RNA (tRNA) molecules are approximately 80 nucleotides in length. Their secondary structure includes four short double-helical elements and three loops (D, anti-codon, and T loops). Further hydrogen bonds mediate the characteristic L-shaped molecular structure. tRNAs have two regions of fundamental functional importance: the anti-codon, which is responsible for specific mRNA codon recognition, and the 3' end, to which the tRNAs corresponding amino acid is attached (by aminoacyl-tRNA synthetases). tRNAs cope with the degeneracy of the genetic code in two manners: having more than one tRNA (with a specific anti-codon) for a particular amino acid; and 'wobble' base-pairing, i.e. permitting non-standard base-pairing at the 3rd anti-codon position. The record is from RNAcentral. Lineage: Bacteria; Pseudomonadati; Bacteroidota; Saprospiria; Saprospirales; Saprospiraceae.